RNAcentral lists this ribosomal RNA (254 nucleotides) under uncultured bacterium. RNAcentral describes it as "partial 16S ribosomal RNA". It matches the Rfam family "Bacterial small subunit ribosomal RNA", at positions 524 to 776 of the family's 1533-position model. The record is from RNAcentral.
UACGUAGGGUGCGAGCGUUGUCCGGAAUUACUGGGCGUAAAGGGCGCGUAGGUGGCCCGGUCAGUUCGUGGUGAAAGCGCGGGGCUCAACCCUGCGUCGGCCAUGAAUACUGCCGCGGCUGGAGCACUGUAGAGGCAGGCGGAAUUCCGGGUGUAGCGGUGGAAUGCGUAGAGAUCCGGAAGAACACCGGUGGCGAAGGCGGCCUGCUGGGCAGUUGCUGACACUGAGGCGCGACAGCGUGGGGAGCGAACAGG